Molecule: non-coding RNA, 450 nt
Organism: Alexandromys fortis (reed vole)
Lineage: Eukaryota; Metazoa; Chordata; Mammalia; Rodentia; Cricetidae
Source: the annotation of a RefSeq genome assembly
GUGACAGUCUUUUUGUUGCUGUUGAAGUGUGAACCUUCAGUGAAAACAAUGAUGCAUCCCUUAAGUGUUUUGCUAGUGGUGCUCUGUCUUCAACUGAGUGGGGUGAGUAGCCAGGAGAAGGUGCAGCAGAAUCCAGAAUUCCUCAGUGUCACAGAGGGAGCCACGGCCUCUCUCAACUGCACUUCCAACGAUCGUAAUUAUAAUUACUUCUGGUGGUACAAGCAGUAUCCCGGGAAAGGCCCCAUGUUUCUGAUGUCCAUAUUCUCCAAUGGUAAAAAGAAAGAAGGCAGAUUCACAGUUCACCUCAAUCAAGAGAGCCUGCAUGUUUCCCUGCACAUCAGAGACUCCCAACUCAGUGACUCAGCUGUCUACCUCUGUGCAGUGAGCACACAGUGCUCCCCAGGCACCUGCAGCCUGCACCCAAACCUACAGGGCCCCAGCAAAGUCUGA